RNAcentral lists this non-coding RNA (24 nucleotides) under Arabidopsis thaliana (thale cress). The record is from RNAcentral. Lineage: Eukaryota; Viridiplantae; Streptophyta; Magnoliopsida; Brassicales; Brassicaceae.
AUACCUUUCUCUGAUAUCUUGUGA